This 103-nucleotide transfer RNA is filed under the name Pseudomonas sp. TAA207. Its description in RNAcentral is "tRNA-Gly". RNAcentral also lists the same sequence under 1 other name. Lineage: Bacteria; Pseudomonadati; Pseudomonadota; Gammaproteobacteria; Pseudomonadales; Pseudomonadaceae. The record is from RNAcentral.
CGGCCGCUGUGGCCAAGUGUUUCCAGUGGCGGGCGAUGCGCCGUAUCACGCUGGGUGCGCGAGGGGUAUUCAGGGUUUGUGCCGCUUCAAUCAACGGUUGGCC